Solea senegalensis (Senegalese sole) is the source of this 2733-nucleotide RNA transcript. It is a transcript of the gene named Fc receptor-like protein 4, with no coding region annotated. The transcript is spliced from 9 exons. Lineage: Eukaryota; Metazoa; Chordata; Actinopteri; Pleuronectiformes; Soleidae. The record is from RefSeq and is a predicted model, not a curated record.
AUAAACUCAGAAGAAGAAGAAGAAGUCCAGCUUUUAGAUAUUGUAAUGAUACUGCACUUCUGUUUCUCAAAGCUUCUUGGUUUCUCUUUGAACACGUUCAAGUUUGAGGAGAAAUUUCCAUCAGGAGAUUAACACAGUGUCGGACGUGAGGAUGGAACAGACUUUGCUCUGGGUGCUGGGAUUAUUCUCACUGAAUCUUCUCUUCUACUGUGGACAAGCUGAAGUUGUUCUGACCGUUGAACCAAACUGGUCAGUAUUUUUCCAUGGAGAGUCUGUCACCCUCAUAUGUGACGUGAAGGAAGGACAAGAGACAGACUGGUGGUAUUUAUUCAACAGAGACGGUCAACGUUUUAUCGUGUACAGUUCAAAUAAGAAAUAUCAGAUAUACACACAAUACAUACAAACAGGACACUACUCUUGCACUGGUCGAAAUAAACUCUCAAGUAAUCAGGAGGAAAGUAAUAUGGUUCAUCUAACAGUUUUAGUGUACACACCUAAGGCAUUGAUUUUGGAAGUCAACAGUUCAACAGUGGGCGCUGUGAUGUUGACCUGCUCUGUGAGCCCAUCAACACCUGGCUGGGAAUAUUCCUGGUACAGCGGCACAAACACCCAACCUCUGACUGCAGGGGGCGCCAUUUUCCACUCGAAUGACAGAAUCAGUGUCUCACAGGAUGGACUUUACCGGUGCGCAGGAGGACGAGGAACUCCACGUUACUACACCGAGCACAGUGACACAUUUGUUGCCAUCACACCUGUUGUGAAGCUGAACCACAACUGGCCUGAGGUUUUCUACGGAGAGGAGACCAGGCUCACGUGUGAGAUGAAGGGUGGAGAAAACAUCGUGUGGGAGUAUGAGUGGAUGAAACAGCAAGUUGUUCUUCCAGACAAAAAGGAACAUGUAGUUGUCCAUGCUACAACAUCAGACUACAUGUGUAGGGCAGAAAGUACAUAUGGCCAAACACGGUGGAGUAAAGCUUUCAGACUGACAGUAAUUGUCAAAGAUAUUCUACUUGAGAGUCCGACACAUCCCGUGACUGAAGGAGCAGCUGUUACGCUUCGCUGCAAGCUGAAGACGGGGAACUUUGUUGCUAAUGUUGUCUUCUAUAAAAACGACAAAGUCGUCCAGAAUGACACGAGAUGGACGCUAACGAUCCCUGCGGUGUCAGAGUCACAUGAAGGCUUUUACAGAUGUGAAGGAAAAUAUUCUCAGCGGACUCUGACUUCACUACAGAGUUGGAUUUCAGUCAAAUCUUUGUCCAAACCAGAAAGCUCUCCAGGUCAUUUGCCUCUGAUUGUUGGAUUGGUUUGUGGAGUUUUAGUAAUAAUUCCUCUGCUGCUGUUUUUUUGCUACAGAAAGUCUAAAGACCCAAAUGGUAACAAGUUGGUAAAGGCACUCCAUUGUUUCAUCUCCAUCAUCACAGCAAUUCCUAACACUGCGGCAGAUAUAUACAUACUGUAAUAAGAUUUUUAUAUGACAUACUUAUUUUUGAAUGCAUAUUUUCAACAGUCAGACAUUUGCCACAGACCAAACUGUCAAUCAAGGGGAAAAUCAACAGCAGGUGUACUCGACUCUUCUUCACGGUGACGUUUGUAUCUAUGAAACAGUUGGAGGCGCUGGAAACAUUGGGACUGGUACAGUAUUUUCAAUUUAGGCUCCUACAUAGACUAAUGUGAUUGUGACUUGUGAUUGUGAUAUUUCCGGUAGACUGUCGCCUGAAAUGUUACCCCUUUUUCAUCUUAUGCCAUGUUAAUUCCCUCAGGGCUAACUACUGAAACAAGUUCUAAAAGACCAUGCAAAUGUUUCUGAUCAGUACCAGAUGUUUUGAUUGCUAAAGUUGCCUUAAAAAGUUAAAACUUAAGUUUCUUAUUUUUAUUUAGCCACCAAAGCAUGAGGCCGCUAAUAGCUUUUAUCGUGCGCUCUCUUAGUAAGAAACGUUGUUGUCACUGACAUAUUUUAGUCAAAAUUCCUGUUAAAUGUUACGAACGCUAUCACUAAUCGACAGCGUUUGCUUAGUGACCUGAAAGAUGCAAUACUAAUAUGACCAGUAGGGGCAGUGUAGAGGCAGCUCAGCUUGGGAAGUCACCCUAGUGGGCUGUGACGGUACUGCACGUGGGCCCUAUUUUUUUAAAAUCUGUAAUUACGUUUAAAAUAAUUGUAAAGAAAUGGUUAUUGUGGGAAAAAGAUGAAAGAUUAUUAUAUCAAAGGGGACAAUAAAUGUUACGGACAAUUUACACAGGGAUUUUCUGAUUGUUAAAUAUUGUUAUUUGAGAUUUUGUUUUAUGCGUGUUUUAUUUUCUUUUUUUCUCAAAGGACACCAACAUGCUGAGGUGGAGGAGCUUAACUACAACUAUGAAAAUGUAGAUUCAGGUGCAUGUAGAACUAUUACCAUGGAUAGGCAAAUCAGCAAUUAGCAAAAUUGACCAGAUGAUGCUCAACUUUAACCAUAAAAGACCUCCAUGAACAAUUUUCUUUUUUAAUGUCAGCCGGGAUUGGCUUGGUACUCAGUGUCAAAUUAACCACUGCAUGUUUGUGGAGUGCGGGAGGAAACUGGAGAACCCAUAAAGAACCCAAACACACACAGGGAGAACAUGUAAAGUCCACACAGACAAACGCCCUCAGUUGAACCAGGAAUCGAACCUACGACCUUCUUGACCUACUCUACUGUGUGGACUCCUCUUGUUCAUUAAUUAUUUCAUUAUCAUCUUAUCUUUUUCUUUUAAUAAAAAUCUUUG